UUGGCAAUGUAGGAGAAUGAAGUUCCAAGUCCUUAGGGUCCUGGUGCUACCUGUCUUACUGUAUGGUUGUGAGCCUUGGAUGCUAACCAGUGACCUAAUGUAACGACUGGAUGUCGUUGGUACCAGGUCUGUUUUGAG
This is a long non-coding RNA of Thalassophryne amazonica, 138 nucleotides long. RefSeq lists it as uncharacterized. Lineage: Eukaryota; Metazoa; Chordata; Actinopteri; Batrachoidiformes; Batrachoididae. The transcript has 3 exons. The record is from RefSeq and is a predicted model, not a curated record.